CACAUUUUAAAAUGCAUAUGCUGCACACAUACAGGAGUUGGAUUGCAGAAGACAAAAUGAGUUGCUGCCAUCCUUGCAUGAUCCAAAUCUAGCAACAGAAAUUCCAAAGCAAAACUUGCAGUUUCAUGCAGUUGGUUCUGGUUAAUGUUGAAAUUGAAGAUGGAAAAGAAAAAAAAUAAUGUUAAAAUGAAAGCAGAUAUGAGAUAACAUACUAGACAUUUGGUGAUCCAAAAAUAACUGGAGUUCAUGAAAGAAGACAGAUUGCUGAGACACAUCUUAAUUGAUAAAUAUGUUUAUGAUGGAGACAAACUUGGAUAAUAUUAUGGAUUCUUUGGUGUUAAAAAAUUGCAAGCUCAAACAAAAAUAAAUUGAAAUAAAUAUGCUUUAAAAAAAAAGAAGAAAAAAAACGACAAUGUGAAUCUCACCGAAGGUUUAAAAACAACCAAGUCAACACACAGUUGCAACACAAAUGAGAUAGAGAUUGAUUUGCAAGGAUAUAUAGUGUGUUCUCACUGUCUCACCAUCAGGAGAGAUUUCUCAUCAGCGAAGAAGAUACUUCUGUAUUAAAAGGUCAUCAAUAUUGAAGACAAUCAAGAAGAUUACAAGUUACUUAGAUUGACUAACUAGUUUCAUUGAUUGAAUUAUUACUAAAUUACCUUUUGUAGUUCAUGUAGUUACAUGCAUGAAAUUUUGUAUCAGAUAGUAUGGAAACAGUUUAAUACUUCCCUAAAUUCCAUACCAAAUGAAACGAUUGUUUUGUGCUGCUAAGUCAAUUCGAAUUUAACUUUUAUGUAUGUUUAUAACAUGUAAAAUAAUAUUAUUCUUGAAUGUUACAGCACCAUUUAGUGUUGUUGUAUCAUCUUCAUUGAUUGUUAAAUAUAAUACUAAUGCUAUAAAAAAAGAUGACAUUUAUGAUCAUUUAUACAGAUUGAGAUAUUUAAAAAUUUAUCAAUGCUAAAAGAGAAUUUAUAAAUUUAGACAUUUUUCGAGGAGAUUUUUAAUAGUACUACAACAAAAGCAAACCAAUAGUAUAUGCUCAAAUGCACUAUUAACUUUCUCACCAGAUAACCAAAUAGAGAUAUGUUUGUAUUUUGAUUAAAUUAAUGAAGCGUAUGCUAGUUUAAAUAAAUAUGUACAUGUACAUGCAAUUUUAAGGUUUUUAAAUAAUGGCAUUUUUAUUGGAUUAUCUCCCUUUGUACAAUAGAAAUUCAGAUUUUAUCCACAAUGUCUCAGAUAUUCAUGACCAAAAUGACUUAUAGACAAUAAUAACUGUUUUCAUUAGAAACAAGAACAGAUUGAAGAGGUCGUAUGAAUAAUCAAAUAUAAUUUCGAAAAUUGCUAUUAAUAAUUCAUGAGGAAAAGUGAUAUCACGUCAGUGACUGUAUAUAUACAUGUUCGGUCAACGCAUUUUGACUGC
This is a long non-coding RNA of Mytilus trossulus (common blue mussel), 1417 nucleotides long. RefSeq lists it as uncharacterized. Lineage: Eukaryota; Metazoa; Mollusca; Bivalvia; Mytilida; Mytilidae. The transcript is spliced from 3 exons. The record is from RefSeq and is a predicted model, not a curated record.